Non-coding RNA from Cinara cedri, 1132 nucleotides. The record is from the annotation of a GenBank genome assembly. Lineage: Eukaryota; Metazoa; Arthropoda; Insecta; Hemiptera; Aphididae.
AUAUGUAAUUAUUUUACCACAAUAUGACAUAUACCUAUAAUAUUAACAAAGCAUCACUAUCAACUGAACUCCGCUCAGAAUCAUUUUUUCGUAAGCAAUGGUAUAUCGUCGCUCACAGAUUUACACUGUCCGUGAUAGCUGUAAGUCCAGUAAACGAGCACUAUCGCGUUCCGCAGUCGGUUUUGCUCAUCAGCCGUCAGGUCGGGCACCGCAGUGUCUAGGUUACGACCCCCUAAACUCACCCACCUACCCUUCAUAGGAGAGGAGAACGGCGAAACAGUAACCGGUCGUCGGCAAGCAAAAGGCCGGCGGCCAGCUAGUGUGGGAACACCGUUUUCGCGGAGACAUGGCAGCCGUGUACGCCGCGGACCCAUUACAAAAAAUAGAACAUUAAUUUGUCUACUCUUAGUCACUUAGUUCAAUUAUUUUUAUUUUUAUUUAUUUUACACCAAUAAACUACUCUUAUCUUGUUGUGAAACCUGAAAUUUGCGUUAUUUGUCUACAACAAUUUUGCCCGCAUGCGUGUUAGUUUGCACCACCAGCUACAAAACCGGAACAAGGUGACACGAACGGAUACCACUGCUGAGGACCAGUGUCGCACCGUGUCACUGAUGUACAUUAAAUUCUCUUCUUUAUCCUACCUUCCCAAAUUCUCACUUACACCAGCAGCCUACCCAUCGUGAUAAACAUGUCUUUUUUUUUUUUUUUUAAUAAGGCUUUUGAAUUUUUAUUUUUAGUUUUCAAAAUUGCAAAUAUAUAAGUAAUACACAUUGAUAAGCGAGAAGAUUUAAGCUAUACAGUUAUUGUUUUUUUUAAGAGCAUUUAGAAAAACGAUAAAUCAUUAAAUUCAAUCGAAGGUUUUGAAUAGAGCUGUAGGGAAUUUAAACUUUGACAUGUGCUUGAUAAUUUUUACGUGAUUACUAUUAUUAUUUUUUUUUUAUCGAAGUCAUUGAAUUGAAGACAUUUCGGAUAAUAGGGUUUUUGAGUAUUUGCUGUAUUCAAUUAUACCUGUCCAAAAAUGAUGAUGGAAAGUAUAUAGAAGUUGUGGGGGUUUUAAACGCAUUAACCAAAAAUUAUUUUUCUUGAAUAACGCGGAGACUAAAAAUGAAUAAAAACUAAUUAACUUCCUACA